UGAAUAACUGAAAGAUAUGUAACCCCCGGGGACAGCAAAGUUGAUGAGACCAAAGUCCAAUUGUAUUUUGAGUGUAAGAAAAUUGGAAAUUAGAGAUUUCAACAUUUAUUUUUUGUUUUUUUUUAAAGAAAGUGUUUAUUGGGUAUCAACUGAGUGGAAAUUAUUGGUAGCACUCGUUGUGUAUAAAUAAGAAUUAAACGUUUUACAGCAUGGGGAAGCUUUAUUGAUCAUUACUACUGAUGUAGCCCAUCGUUUAGAAGUCGAAUUGAAGACGAGACGACAACCACUCGAUCGGUAAGCCAUUGCGAAUUUUCUUCUCUUAGCUUGUUUUCCUUUCGUCGGAAUUUUUUUUAAUUAUUAGCCUCCCUAGAUACACUAGUGUCCAUAACAAUUAAUUUGGGCGUGUUAUAAAAAAAGUUAAUAUAUGAGAUUUUAGUGUUAAUAAAUCGGUUAUGAGACGU
This 461-nucleotide long non-coding RNA is filed under the name Linum usitatissimum (flax). RNAcentral's name for it is "long non-coding RNA (LUSI_LNC006517)". The record is from RNAcentral. Lineage: Eukaryota; Viridiplantae; Streptophyta; Magnoliopsida; Malpighiales; Linaceae.